Molecule: ribosomal RNA, 1443 nt
Filed under: Salmonella enterica
Lineage: Bacteria; Pseudomonadati; Pseudomonadota; Gammaproteobacteria; Enterobacterales; Enterobacteriaceae
Also listed under: 1 other name
Description: partial 23S ribosomal RNA
Rfam family: Bacterial large subunit ribosomal RNA
Source: RNAcentral
AGGGUGAGUCGACCCCUAAGGCGAGGCCGAAAGGCGUAGUCGAUGGGAAACGGGUUAAUAUUCCCGUACUUGGUGUUACUGCGAAGGGGGGACGGAGAAGGCUAUGUUGGCCGGGCGACGGUUGUCCCGGUUUAAGCGUGUAGGUGUGUGUUCCAGGUAAAUCCGGUUCACUUUAACACUGAGGCGUGACGACGAGGCACUACGGUGCUGAAGCAACAAAUGCCCUGCUUCCAGGAAAAGCCUCUAAGCAUCAGGUAACAUCAAAUCGUACCCCAAACCGACACAGGUGGUCAGGUAGAGAAUACCAAGGCGCUUGAGAGAACUCGGGUGAAGGAACUAGGCAAAAUGGUGCCGUAACUUCGGGAGAAGGCACGCUGACACGUAGGUGAAGUGAUUUACUCAUGGAGCUGAAGUCAGUCGAAGAUACCAGCUGGCUGCAACUGUUUAUUAAAAACACAGCACUGUGCAAACACGAAAGUGGACGUAUACGGUGUGACGCCUGCCCGGUGCCGGAAGGUUAAUUGAUGGGGUCAGCGCAAGCGAAGCUCCUGAUCGAAGCCCCGGUAAACGGCGGCCGUAACUAUAACGGUCCUAAGGUAGCGAAAUUCCUUGUCGGGUAAGUUCCGACCUGCACGAAUGGCGUAAUGAUGGCCAGGCUGUCUCCACCCGAGACUCAGUGAAAUUGAACUCGCUGUGAAGAUGCAGUGUACCCGCGGCAAGACGGAAAGACCCCGUGAACCUUUACUAUAGCUUGACACUGAACAUUGAGCCUUGAUGUGUAGGAUAGGUGGGAGGCUUUGAAGUGUGGACGCCAGUCUGCAUGGAGCCGACCUUGAAAUACCACCCUUUAAUGUUUGAUGUUCUAACGUGGACCCGUUACCCGGGUUGCGGACAGUGUCUGGUGGGUAGUUUGACUGGGGCGGUCUCCUCCUAAAGAGUAACGGAGGAGCACGAAGGUUGGCUAAUCCUGGUCGGACAUCAGGAGGUUAGUGCAAUGGCAUAAGCCAGCUUGACUGCGAGCGUGACGGCGCGAGCAGGUGCGAAAGCAGGUCAUAGUGAUCCGGUGGUUCUGAAUGGAAGGGCCAUCGCUCAACGGAUAAAAGGUACUCCGGGGAUAACAGGCUGAUACCGCCCAAGAGUUCAUAUCGACGGCGGUGUUUGGCACCUCGAUGUCGGCUCAUCACAUCCUGGGGCUGAAGUAGGUCCCAAGGGUAUGGCUGUUCGCCAUUUAAAGUGGUACGCGAGCUGGGUUUAGAACGUCGUGAGACAGUUCGGUCCCUAUCUGCCGUGGGCGCUGGAGAACUGAGGGGGGCUGCUCCUAGUACGAGAGGACCGGAGUGGACGCAUCACUGGUGUUCGGGUUGUCAUGCCAAUGGCACUGCCCGGUAGCUAAAUGCGGAAGAGAUAAGUGCUGAAAGCAUCUAAGCACGAAACUUGCCCCGA